RNAcentral lists this transfer RNA (60 nucleotides) under Acidimicrobiaceae bacterium. Its description in RNAcentral is "tRNA-Thr". It matches the Rfam family "tRNA", at positions 10 to 63 of the family's 71-position model. From Rfam's summary of the family: Transfer RNA (tRNA) molecules are approximately 80 nucleotides in length. Lineage: Bacteria; Bacillati; Actinomycetota; Acidimicrobiia; Acidimicrobiales; Acidimicrobiaceae. The record is from RNAcentral.
GCUCAGUUGGCAGAGCGAUUCACUCGUAAUGAAUAGGUCAGGGGUUCGAUUCCCCUCUCG